GGAGUAGAUAAUGUCUACAAAGAACUUUAGGAGGGUACUUAUCAAACAAACAGGAACAAUUUGAAUCUAGCUCUGUGUAUCCGCUGAGGCAUGAUAUUUGGACAAUGUAGGUAAAGUGUUAUUGAAGAAUUGCUUGCUUUGUUAGAAGAAGUAUAUAAAAGGAACUUGCAAAUAAACUUCAGCAUGCAGUUGCAUUUGCUGCCUUGGCUCUGCAUCCCCUGUGUCCUG
Molecule: long non-coding RNA, 228 nt
Filed under: Marmota monax (woodchuck)
Lineage: Eukaryota; Metazoa; Chordata; Mammalia; Rodentia; Sciuridae
Source: RNAcentral